Molecule: non-coding RNA, 612 nt
Organism: Meleagris gallopavo (turkey)
Lineage: Eukaryota; Metazoa; Chordata; Aves; Galliformes; Phasianidae
Source: RefSeq, a predicted model, not a curated record
AACUUGAGGGAGAGGUAAGUGAGGAUGUGGUAAAUGGUCCACCCAGAAGAUUGUCUGGGGCAAGGUGGUCAACUCCACAUCUCAAGAUUGCCUCCACCAAGAAGGAAAUAAGGGCCUUUCGUUGCCAGCUGCUGCAGGAUGGACUUGCGUGCAUGGAUGCCUUGGGGAGAUGGCGUCAGCCUGAUGUGACCAGUUACCGUGUUGAGUAAACCUCUCCUACAGAGCUCUGCCAUGCACCCUCACAGUGCUUGGGGCUCAGAGGAGUUACUCAUUGCCUGUCUGCACUGCAGAGUGAAGUCCUACAGUGAAUCAGAUGUAAACUCACGUUUCUUAAGCGUCUGAGGUGAAAUGCUUGGAAAAUUUACCUUGGAAAAGGACCAGGCUCGAAGGCCUCCAGCUUAUUUUGCUGUAGCUGCAAUAUCUCAGGGCACCACCAGGUCAAAGGUUUAUAGACAGAGGGAAGUGUGCUGGCCCUCCUGUGCCCCCUUUCCAUCCGUAUUCUUAAAUGAGGCCACAACUCGCUGAAAGUCCUUGUAAGGAUUCCUGUGAAGAAUAAAUCAAAACAACAUAAUCAGAUAAAAAAAUAAUUGCUUUUCCAUCUGCUGAAGUUUA